AGAGCGAACGCUGGCGGCAGGCUUAACACAUGCAAGUCGAACGCUCGUAGCAAUACGGGAGUGGCAGACGGGUGAGUAACGCGUGGGAACAUACCCUCCGGUUCGGAAUAGCUCAGGGAAACUUGGAUUAAUACCGGAUACGGCUGAGAGGCGAAAGAUUUAUCGCCGGAGGAUUGGCCCGCGUUCGAUUAGCUUGUUGGUGAGGUAACGGCUCACCAAGGCGAUGAUCGAUAGCUGGUCUGAGAGGAUGAUCAGCCACAUUGGGACUGAGACACGGCCCAAACUCCUACGGGAGGCAGCAGUGGGGAAUAUUGGACAAUGGGCGCAAGCCUGAUCCAGCCAUGCCGCGUGAGUGAUGACGGCCUUAGGGUUGUAAAGCUCUUUCGCUCGGGACGAUAAUGACGGUACCGAGAUAAGAACGCCCGGCUAACUUCGCGCCAGCAGCCGC
Molecule: ribosomal RNA, 448 nt
Filed under: uncultured bacterium
Lineage: Bacteria
Description: SSU rRNA
Rfam family: Bacterial small subunit ribosomal RNA
Source: RNAcentral